This 504-nucleotide ribosomal RNA is filed under the name marine sediment bacterium ISA-3158. Its description in RNAcentral is "bacterial SSU rRNA". It matches the Rfam family "Bacterial small subunit ribosomal RNA", at positions 50 to 529 of the family's 1533-position model. The record is from RNAcentral.
CUAUCAUGCGAGUCGAGCGGGACAGAAAUGGCAGCUUGCUCCCGGAUGUUAGCGGCGGUACGGGUGAGUAACACGUGGGUUAACCUGCCCUGUAAGCACUGGGCAUAACUCCGGGAAACCGGCAGCUAAUACCGGCAUAGUUCCUUGUAACCGCAUGGUUCAAGGAAUGAAAGACGGUUUCGGCUGUCACUUACAGAUGGACCCGCGGCGCAUUAGCUAGUUGGUGAGGUAACGGCUCACCAAUGCGACGAUGCGUAGCCCACCUGAGAGGGUGAUCGGCCACACUGGGACUGAACACGGCCCACACUCCUACGGGAGGCAGCAGUAUGGAAUCUUCCGCAAUGGACGAAAGUCUGACGGACAACGCCGCGUGAGUGAUGAAGGUUUUCGGAUCGUAAGCUCUGUUGUUAGGGAAGAACAAGUGCAAGAUAACUGCUUGCACCUUGACGGUACCUAACCAGAAAGCCACGGCUAAAUACAUGCCAGCAGCCGCGGUAAUACUUA